Dromaius novaehollandiae (emu) is the source of this 523-nucleotide long non-coding RNA. RefSeq lists it as uncharacterized. The record is from RefSeq and is a predicted model, not a curated record. The transcript is spliced from 2 exons. NCBI's taxonomy places the organism in Eukaryota, Metazoa, Chordata, Aves, Casuariiformes, Dromaiidae.
AAAGGUCCCCAGAACCCCUCAGCCUGCGGCAGAUAUUCUACGCACAUGGUUUCUUAAAACUAAAUAAUUUAAAACUGGCAAACCAAAAAAGCAGAAAAAAUCUUCCAACAGGAAGUGUCUCGGGCAAUUUGAAGCUGCUCUGGAAACACAACAGGCGAAACGCGUACGUGCACUGGCUUCUGCCAUCAGCAGCACUGCAUCCCGGGCUGGGGUCGGGCUGAGGGCGACCGCUCGCUAUCUACCCCCUCGUCGGGGCCCACGAAGGACGCAGCGACUCGCGUCGUGGCCGUCGGUGGAGGUGACAGCGAGGGGCCCCUGCACAAGCUGGCAUGCCAGAAAGCAGCACCAAGAACUGAGCAAAAGCUCCCCGGCGCCAGCGCGCCCGGCCGGGCGGCUCUGCACCCUCCGCCGCGUCCCCGCGACCACCAGCCGCGCGGUGGCCUCGCGCCGCAUUACAAUAAACCAGCUCCUUCCUAAAAUGAACCCUAAGCGCUUUCCUGAUUAAAAAAAACAACCAAAAAUA